RNAcentral lists this ribosomal RNA (586 nucleotides) under uncultured bacterium. RNAcentral's name for it is "bacterial SSU rRNA". It matches the Rfam family "Bacterial small subunit ribosomal RNA", at positions 338 to 915 of the family's 1533-position model. The record is from RNAcentral.
CCUACGGGAGGCAGCAGUGGGGAAUUUUGGACAAUGGGCGAAAGCCUGAUCCAGCAAUGCCGCGUGCAGGAAGAAGGCCUUCGGGUUGUAAACUGCUUUUGUACGGAACGAAACGGUCUGCUUUAAUACAGUGGGCUAAUGACGGUACCGUAAGAAUAAGCACCGGCUAACUACGUGCCAGCAGCCGCGGUAAUACGUAGGGUGCGAGCGUUAAUCGGAAUUACUGGGCGUAAAGCGUGCGCAGGCGGUUAUAUAAGACAGUUGUGAAAUCCCCGGGCUCAACCUGGGAAUUGCAUCUGUGACUGUAUAGCUAGAGUACGGUAGAGGGGGAUGGAAUUCCGCGUGCAGCAGUGAAAUGCGUAGAUAUGCGGAGGAACACCGAUGGCGAAGGCAAUCCCCUGGACCUGUACUGACGCUCAUGCACGAAAGCGUGGGGAGCAAACAGGAUUAGAUACCCUGGUAGUCCACGCCCUAAACGAUGUCAACUGGUUGUUGGGUGCAUUAGUACUCAGUAACGAAGCUAACGCGUGAAGUUGACCGCCUGGGGAGUACGGCCGCAAGGUUGAAACUCGAAAUGAAAUUGAGG